CAAGUACCAUGAGGGAAAGAUGAAAAGGACUUUGAAAAGAGAGUUAAAAGUGCCUGAACUACGCUGAAAGGAAAGCGGAUGGAACCAGUCGUGCUUGGCGAGAUUGUUGCGUGCAAAGGUGACUGCUCACUUGUUGCAGCGUAAGCGCAGCAGCGGGUUUCGAUCUGGUCGCGCGCGAUGCUUCUUGCCUUGUUCGUCAUCGUUGGUUUGGGGGCGCGGACAACUCUUGGGACAUGGUAACUUGCCCACGGGUGAGCGAAUGUGCCUUGCAGAACUCACCUCCAAACUGAUGUCUCUUGUUAGGUUCUGUUGCCGUAUACGGCACGUUCUUGACAAAGCGUGGUGACAGAAUGGUUCUAUUCGACCCGUCUUGAAACACGGACCAAGGAGUCUAACAUAUGUGCAAGUACUUGGGUGGCGAAACCUAUGUGCGCAAUGAAAGUGAGUGCUGAGAUGCUUGCAUCAGCAGCCGAACCAAUCAAUUGGGGAGAGGUUUGAGCAUGAGCAUAUCUGUUAGGACCCGAAAGAUGGAUGAACUAUGCCUGAACAGAACGAAUUCAAGAGGAAACUCUGAUGGAGGUUCGUAUCGAUACUGACGUGCAAAU
Molecule: ribosomal RNA, 605 nt
Filed under: Gymnodiniaceae sp. ZH-2018a
Lineage: Eukaryota; Dinophyceae; Gymnodiniales; Gymnodiniaceae
Description: partial large subunit ribosomal RNA
Rfam family: Eukaryotic large subunit ribosomal RNA
Source: RNAcentral